GGGGGGGGGGGGGGGGGGGGGGGGGGGGGGGGGGGGGGGGGGGGGGGGGCGGCGGGGGGGGGGUGCGCGAGUGGCGAGCGGGGGAGUAAGCGGGGGGUAACCGGCCGUUGGCGGGGGGAGGCCUGCGGGAAAGUGGGGCUAAUACCGGAGAGGGGCUCCGGCGGCAUGGUGGGGGUGGGAAAGAUUCGGCGGUUGGGGAUGGACUCGCGGCUUAUCAGCUUGUUGGUGGGGUAGUGGCUUACCAAGGCUUUGACGGGUAGCCGGCCUGAGAGGGUGACCGGCCACAUUGGGACUGAGAUACGGCCCAGACUCCUACGGGAGGCAGCAGUGGGGAAUAUUGCACAAUGGGCGGAAGCCUGAUGCAGCAACGCCGCGUGCGGGAUGACGGCCUUCGGGUUGUAAACCGCUUUCGCCUGUGACGAAGCGUGAGUGACGGUAAUGGGUAAAGAAGCACCGGCUAACUACGUG
RNAcentral lists this ribosomal RNA (468 nucleotides) under uncultured bacterium. Its description in RNAcentral is "partial 16S ribosomal RNA". The stretch from base 48 to 468 matches the Rfam family "Bacterial small subunit ribosomal RNA", at positions 38 to 507 of the family's 1533-position model. The record is from RNAcentral.